UACGUAGGGUCCGAGCGUUGUCCGGAAUUAUUGGGCGUAAAGAGCUCGUAGGCGGUUUGUCGCGUCUGUCGUGAAAGCUUGGGGCUUAACCCCAAGUCUGCGGUGGAUACGGGCAGACUAGAGGCAGGUAGGGGAGAACGGAAUUCCCGGUGUAGCGGUGGAAUGCGCAGAUAUCGGGAGGAACACCGGUGGCGAAGGCGGUUCUCUGGGCCUGUACUGACGCUGAGGAGCGAAAGCGUGGGGAGCGAACAGG
RNAcentral lists this ribosomal RNA (253 nucleotides) under uncultured bacterium. RNAcentral's name for it is "partial 16S ribosomal RNA". It matches the Rfam family "Bacterial small subunit ribosomal RNA", at positions 524 to 776 of the family's 1533-position model. The record is from RNAcentral.